CCUACGGGAGUCAGCAGUGAGGAAUAUUGGUCAAUGGACGAGAGUCUGAACCAGCCAAGUAGCGUGAAGGAUGACUGCCCUAUGGGUUGUAAACUUCUUUUAUAUGGGAAUAAAACGUUCCACGUGUGGGAUUUUGUAUGUACCAUAUGAAUAAGUAUCGGCUAACUCCGUGCCAGCAGCCGCGGUAAUACGGAGGAUCCGAGCGUUAUCCGGAUUUAUUGGGUUUAAAGGGAGCGUAGGUGGAUUGUUAAGUCAGUUGUGAAAGUUUGCGGCUCAACCGUAAAAUUGCAGUUGAAACUGGCAGUCUUGAGUACAGUAGAGGUAGGCGGAAUUCGUGGUGUAGCGGUGAAAUGCUUAGAUAUCACGAAGAACUCCGAUUGCGAAGGCAGUUCACUGGACUGCAACUGACACUGAGGCUCGAAAGUGUGGGUAUCAAACAGGAUUAGAUACCCGAGUAGUC
Molecule: ribosomal RNA, 460 nt
Filed under: uncultured bacterium
Lineage: Bacteria
Description: partial 16S ribosomal RNA
Rfam family: Bacterial small subunit ribosomal RNA
Source: RNAcentral